RNAcentral lists this ribosomal RNA (448 nucleotides) under uncultured bacterium. RNAcentral describes it as "bacterial SSU rRNA". It matches the Rfam family "Bacterial small subunit ribosomal RNA", at positions 271 to 716 of the family's 1533-position model. The record is from RNAcentral.
AGGCUACGAUCAGUAGGGGUUCUGAGAGGAAGGUCCCCCACAUUGGAACUGAGACACGGUCCAAACUCCUACGGGAGGCAGCAGUGAGGAAUAUUGGUCAAUGGACGAGAGUCUGAACCAGCCAAGUAGCGUGCAGGAUGACGGCCCUAUGGGUUGUAAACUGCUUUUAUAAGGGAAUAAAGUGAGCCUCGUGAGGCUUUUUGCAUGUACCUUAUGAAUAAGGACCGGCUAAUUCCGUGCCAGCAGCCGCGGUAAUACGGAAGGUCCGGGCGUUAUCCGGAUUUAUUGGGUUUAAAGGGAGCGUAGGCCGGAGAUUAAGCGUGUUGUGAAAUGUAGAUGCUCAACAUCUGCACUGCAGCGCGAACUGGUUUCCUUGAGUACGCACAAAGUGGGCGGAAUUCGUGGUGUAGCGGUGAAAUGCUUAGAUAUCACGAAGAGCUCCGAUUGC